CCUACGGGCGGCAGCAGUGGGGAAUAUUGGACAAUGGGGGGAACCCUGAUCCAGCCAUGCCGCGUGUGUGAAGAAGGCCCUCGGGUUGUAAAGCACUUUCAGUGAGGAAGGACGCCUGGUGGUUAAUACCCAUCAGGAAAGACAUCACUCACAGAAGAAGCACCGGCUAACUCCGUGCCAGCAGCCGCGGUAAUACGGAGGGUGCGAGCGUUAAUCGGAAUUACUGGGCGUAAAGCGCGCGUAGGUGGCUUGAUAAGCCGGUUGUGAAAGCCCCGGGCUCAACCUGGGAACGGCAUCCGGAACUGUCAAGCUAGAGUGCAGGAGAGGAAGGUAGAAUUCCCGGUGUAGCGGUGAAAUGCGUAGAGAUCGGGAGGAAUACCAGUGGCGAAGGCGGCCUUCUGGACUGACACUGACACUGAGGUGCGAAAGCGUGGGUAGCAAACAGGAUUAGAUACCCGAGUAGUC
This 465-nucleotide ribosomal RNA is filed under the name Vreelandella stevensii. RNAcentral's name for it is "partial 16S ribosomal RNA". It matches the Rfam family "Bacterial small subunit ribosomal RNA", at positions 338 to 795 of the family's 1533-position model. Lineage: Bacteria; Pseudomonadati; Pseudomonadota; Gammaproteobacteria; Oceanospirillales; Halomonadaceae. The record is from RNAcentral.